CUCCAUCAGCAAGCUCCAGUGCUACGUGUCUCUGGCAUUUUAGGUGUCGGUUGGGUAGAAUUCCAGAAGAUUGCCAUGGCAACAGCAAUAGGAUUUGCUAUAAUGGGAUUCAUUGGCUUCUUUGUGAAAUUGAUCCAUAUUCCUAUUAAUAACAUCAUUGUGUAAGUAAACUUUAUGAAAUAGACUAGGAUUGAAUGAAACUCGAAACCAUUUGAGAUGACAGGCUGUUAUUUCGUUAAUAUAGAGAUGCAUCUCUUGACUUUUUAGUGCUGUUGGAGUCUACUGAUAUUUACGAGUACCUGAUAAUUGAGGGCUUUUAGAUCUUACAUGAUCUUUCCAGAAAUUCUGUGUGCUAGGCACUAUUUUCUUUAAUAAAUAAAAUUUUACAGAGUCAAGAAAGUAUUAAAGACACUCAUAUGUCACAAAGCCAGCAUUGA
RNAcentral lists this small RNA (437 nucleotides) under Pan troglodytes (chimpanzee). RNAcentral describes it as "retained intron". The record is from RNAcentral. Lineage: Eukaryota; Metazoa; Chordata; Mammalia; Primates; Hominidae.